AACGCAUAUGGCACCUGCCAGCCCUGCUGGAAGGUAUGCCUGUUUGAGAAUCAUAUUCAUUCUGAUCCCAUUCACACUCGUGAUUGUGAUCGACCUGGGCCUUCACCACUGAUUGCCUCGAAUUGCUCGCGAUCGUCGUGUCAUGUCCAUUCGACAUUAUUGACGAUCACAACCCAAACAUGAUCUCAAAUCAGGCAAGACUACCCGCUGAACUUAA
RNAcentral lists this unclassified non-coding RNA (217 nucleotides) under Trechispora sp. RNAcentral describes it as "partial contains 5.8S ribosomal RNA, internal transcribed spacer 2, and large subunit ribosomal RNA". The record is from RNAcentral. Lineage: Eukaryota; Fungi; Basidiomycota; Agaricomycetes; Trechisporales; Hydnodontaceae.